AAACUGGAUAGCUGUGUGUGUGAGCAGUCAUCUUUUCAGCCUACAUGUGGAUUGCCAAAUCUGCAGGCUGGUUAGAUGGUUGUCAUACAUCCACCUGACACCAGC
This is a non-coding RNA of Pelobates cultripes (western spadefoot toad), 105 nucleotides long. The record is from the annotation of a GenBank genome assembly. Lineage: Eukaryota; Metazoa; Chordata; Amphibia; Anura; Pelobatidae.